Molecule: unclassified non-coding RNA, 298 nt
Filed under: uncultured Botryotrichum
Lineage: Eukaryota; Fungi; Ascomycota; Sordariomycetes; Sordariales; Chaetomiaceae
Description: partial contains 5.8S ribosomal RNA, internal transcribed spacer 2, and large subunit ribosomal RNA
Rfam family: 5.8S ribosomal RNA (bases 1-102)
Source: RNAcentral
AUGCGAUAAGUAAUGUGAAUUGCAGAAUUCAGUGAAUCAUCGAAUCUUUGAACGCACAUUGCGCCCGCCAGUAUUCUGGCGGGCAUGCCUGUUCGAGCGUCAUUUCAACCAUCAAGCCCCAGGCUUGUGUUGGGGACCUGCGGCUGCCGCAGGCCCUGAAAACCAGUGGCGGGCUCGCUGUCACACCGGGCGUAGUAGAUUUUAUCUCGCUCAGGGCGUGCUGCGGGUUCCGGCCGUUAAAAAGCCUUUUUUACCCAAGGUUGACCUCGGAUCAGGUAGGAAGACCCGCUGAACUUAA